This 1542-nucleotide ribosomal RNA is filed under the name Salmonella enterica. Its description in RNAcentral is "bacterial SSU rRNA". It matches the Rfam family "Bacterial small subunit ribosomal RNA". RNAcentral also lists the same sequence under 9 other names. Lineage: Bacteria; Pseudomonadati; Pseudomonadota; Gammaproteobacteria; Enterobacterales; Enterobacteriaceae. The record is from RNAcentral.
AAAUUGAAGAGUUUGAUCAUGGCUCAGAUUGAACGCUGGCGGCAGGCCUAACACAUGCAAGUCGAACGGUAACAGGAAGCAGCUUGCUGCUUCGCUGACGAGUGGCGGACGGGUGAGUAAUGUCUGGGAAACUGCCUGAUGGAGGGGGAUAACUACUGGAAACGGUGGCUAAUACCGCAUAACGUCGCAAGACCAAAGAGGGGGACCUUCGGGCCUCUUGCCAUCAGAUGUGCCCAGAUGGGAUUAGCUUGUUGGUGAGGUAACGGCUCACCAAGGCGACGAUCCCUAGCUGGUCUGAGAGGAUGACCAGCCACACUGGAACUGAGACACGGUCCAGACUCCUACGGGAGGCAGCAGUGGGGAAUAUUGCACAAUGGGCGCAAGCCUGAUGCAGCCAUGCCGCGUGUAUGAAGAAGGCCUUCGGGUUGUAAAGUACUUUCAGCGGGGAGGAAGGUGUUGUGGUUAAUAACCGCAGCAAUUGACGUUACCCGCAGAAGAAGCACCGGCUAACUCCGUGCCAGCAGCCGCGGUAAUACGGAGGGUGCAAGCGUUAAUCGGAAUUACUGGGCGUAAAGCGCACGCAGGCGGUCUGUCAAGUCGGAUGUGAAAUCCCCGGGCUCAACCUGGGAACUGCAUUCGAAACUGGCAGGCUUGAGUCUUGUAGAGGGGGGUAGAAUUCCAGGUGUAGCGGUGAAAUGCGUAGAGAUCUGGAGGAAUACCGGUGGCGAAGGCGGCCCCCUGGACAAAGACUGACGCUCAGGUGCGAAAGCGUGGGGAGCAAACAGGAUUAGAUACCCUGGUAGUCCACGCCGUAAACGAUGUCUACUUGGAGGUUGUGCCCUUGAGGCGUGGCUUCCGGAGCUAACGCGUUAAGUAGACCGCCUGGGGAGUACGGCCGCAAGGUUAAAACUCAAAUGAAUUGACGGGGGCCCGCACAAGCGGUGGAGCAUGUGGUUUAAUUCGAUGCAACGCGAAGAACCUUACCUGGUCUUGACAUCCACGGAAGAAUUCAGAGAUGGAUUUGUGCCUUCGGGAACCGUGAGACAGGUGCUGCAUGGCUGUCGUCAGCUCGUGUUGUGAAAUGUUGGGUUAAGUCCCGCAACGAGCGCAACCCUUAUCCUUUGUUGCCAGCGGUCCGGCCGGGAACUCAAAGGAGACUGCCAGUGAUAAACUGGAGGAAGGUGGGGAUGACGUCAAGUCAUCAUGGCCCUUACGACCAGGGCUACACACGUGCUACAAUGGCGCAUACAAAGAGAAGCGACCUCGCGAGAGCAAGCGGACCUCAUAAAGUGCGUCGUAGUCCGGAUUGGAGUCUGCAACUCGACUCCAUGAAGUCGGAAUCGCUAGUAAUCGUGGAUCAGAAUGCCACGGUGAAUACGUUCCCGGGCCUUGUACACACCGCCCGUCACACCAUGGGAGUGGGUUGCAAAAGAAGUAGGUAGCUUAACCUUCGGGAGGGCGCUUACCACUUUGUGAUUCAUGACUGGGGUGAAGUCGUAACAAGGUAACCGUAGGGGAACCUGCGGUUGGAUCACCUCCUUA